RNAcentral lists this ribosomal RNA (468 nucleotides) under uncultured bacterium. RNAcentral's name for it is "partial 16S ribosomal RNA". It matches the Rfam family "Bacterial small subunit ribosomal RNA", at positions 28 to 507 of the family's 1533-position model. The record is from RNAcentral.
GACGAACGCUGGCGGCGUGCUUAACGCAUGCAAGUCGAACGGAAAGGCCCUGCUUUUGUGGGGUGCUCGAGUGGCGAACGGGUGAGUAACACGUGAGUAACCUGCCCUUGACUUUGGGAUAACUUCAGGAAACUGGGGCUAAUACCGGAUAGGAGCUCCUGCUGCAUGGUGGGGGUUGGAAAGUUUCGGCGGUUGGGGAUGGACUCGCGGCUUAUCAGCUUGUUGGUGGGGUAGUGGCUUACCAAGGCUUUGACGGGUAGCCGGCCUGAGAGGGUGACCGGCCACAUUGGGACUGAGAUACGGCCCAGACUCCUACGGGAGGCAGCAGUGGGGAAUAUUGCACAAUGGGCGGCAGCCUGAUGCAGCAACGCCGCGUGCGGGAUGACGGCCUUCGGGUUGUAAACCGCUUUCGCCUGUGACGAGGCGUGAGUGACGGUAAUGGGUAAAGAAGCACCGGCUAACUACGUG